AGAGUUCGAUCAUGGCUCAGAUUGAACGCUGGCGGCAGGCCUAACACAUGCAAGUCGAACGGUAACAGGAAACAGCUUGCUGUUUCGCUGACGAGUGGCGGACGGGUGAGUAAUGUCUGGGAAACUGCCUGAUGGAGGGGGAUAACUACUGGAAACGGCAGCUAAUACCGCAUAACGUCGCAAGACCAAAGAGGGGGACCUUCGGGCCUCUUGCCAUCAGAUGUGCCCAGAUGGGAUUAGCUAGUAGGUGGGGUAACGGCUCACCUAGGCGACGAUCCCUAGCUGGUCUGAGAGGAUGACCAGCCACACUGGAACUGAGACACGGUCCAGACUCCUACGGGAGGCAGCAGUGGGGAAUAUUGCACAAUGGGCGCAAGCCUGAUGCAGCCAUGCCGCGUGUAUGAAGAAGGCCUUCGGGUUGUAAAGUACUUUCAGCGGGGAGGAAGGGAGUAAAGUUAAUACCUUUGCUCAUUGACGUUACCCGCAGAAGAAGCACCGGCUAACUCCGUGCCAGCAGCCGCGGUAAUACGGAGGGUGCAAGCGUUAAUCGGAAUUACUGGGCGUAAAGCGCACGCAGGCGGUUUGUUAAGUCAGAUGUGAAAUCCCCGGGCUCAACCUGGGAACUGCAUCUGAUACUGGCAAGCUUGAGUCUCGUAGAGGGGGGUAGAAUUCCAGGUGUAGCGGUGAAAUGCGUAGAGAUCUGGAGGAAUACCGGUGGCGAAGGCGGCCCCCUGGACGAAGACUGACGCUCAGGUGCGAAAGCGUGGGGAGCAAACAGGAUUAGAUACCCUGGUAGUCCACGCCGUAAACGAUGUCGACUUGGAGGUUGUGCCCUUGAGGCGUGGCUUCCGGAGCUAACGCGUUAAGUCGACCGCCUGGGGAGUACGGCCGCAAGGUUAAAACUCAAAUGAAUUGACGGGGGCCCGCACAAGCGGUGGAGCAUGUGGUUUAAUUCGAUGCAACGCGAAGAACCUUACCUGGUCUUGACAUCCACGGAAGUUUUCAGAGAUGAGAAUGUGCCUUCGGGAACCGUGAGACAGGUGCUGCAUGGCUGUCGUCAGCUCGUGUUGUGAAAUGUUGGGUUAAGUCCCGCAACGAGCGCAACCCUUAUCCUUUGUUGCCAGCGGUCCGGCCGGGAACUCAAAGGAGACUGCCAGUGAUAAACUGGAGGAAGGUGGGGAUGACGUCAAGUCAUCAUGGCCCUUACGACCAGGGCUACACACGUGUUACAAUGGCGCAUACAAAGAGAAGCGACCUCGCGAGAGCAAGCGGACCUCAUAAAGUGCGUCGUAGUCCGGAUUGGAGUCUGCAACUCGACUCCAUGAAGUCGGAAUCGCUAGUAAUCGUGGAUCAGAAUGCCACGGUGAAUACGUUCCCGGGCCUUGUACACACCGCCCGUCACACCAUGGGAGUGGGUUGCAAAAGAAGUAGGUAGCUUAACCUUCGGGAGGGCGCUUACCACUUUGUGAUUCAUGACUGGGGUGAAGUCGGAACAAGGUAACCGUAGGGGAACCUGCGGUUG
Molecule: ribosomal RNA, 1522 nt
Filed under: metagenome
Description: bacterial SSU rRNA
Rfam family: Bacterial small subunit ribosomal RNA
Source: RNAcentral